UACGUAGGGUGCAAGCGUUGUCCGGAAUUAUUGGGCGUAAAGAGCUCGUAGGCGGUUUGUCACGUCGGAUGUGAAAACUCGGGGCUCAACCCCGAGCCUGCAUUCGAUACGGGCAGACUUGAGUUCGGCAGGGGAGACUGGAAUUCCUGGUGUAGCGGUGAAAUGCGCAGAUAUCAGGAGGAACACCGGUGGCGAAGGCGGCAUCCUGGACCAACACUGACACUGAUGAGCGAAAGCCAGGGGAGCAAACGGG
RNAcentral lists this ribosomal RNA (253 nucleotides) under uncultured bacterium. Its description in RNAcentral is "partial 16S ribosomal RNA". It matches the Rfam family "Bacterial small subunit ribosomal RNA", at positions 524 to 776 of the family's 1533-position model. The record is from RNAcentral.